RNAcentral lists this ribosomal RNA (497 nucleotides) under uncultured bacterium. RNAcentral's name for it is "partial 16S ribosomal RNA". It matches the Rfam family "Bacterial small subunit ribosomal RNA", at positions 28 to 507 of the family's 1533-position model. The record is from RNAcentral.
GAUGAACGCUGGCGGCGUGCCUAAUACAUGCAAGUCGAGCGAACAGACGAGGGGCUUGCUCCUCUGACGUUAGCGGCGGACGGGGUAGUAACACGUGGAUAACCUACCUAUAAAACUGGGAUAACUUCGGGAAACCGGAGCUAAUACCGGGUAAUAUAUUGAACCGCAUGGUUCAAUAGUGAAAGACGGUUUUGCUGUCACUUAUAGAUGGAUCCGCGCCGCAUUAGCUAGUUGGUAAGGUAACGGCUUACCAAGGCAACGAUGCGUAGCCGACCUGAGAGGGUGAUCGGCCACACUGGCACUGAGACACGGUCCAGACUCCUACGGGAGGCAGCAGUAGGGACUCUUCCGCAAUGGGCGAAAGCCUGACGGAGCAACGCCGCGUGAGUGAUGAAGGUCUUCGGAUCGUAAAACUCUGUUAUUAGGGAAGAACAAAUGUGUAAGUAACUAUGCACGUAUUGACGGUACCUAAUCAGAAAGCCACGGCUAACUACGUG